RNAcentral lists this ribosomal RNA (463 nucleotides) under uncultured bacterium. RNAcentral describes it as "partial 16S ribosomal RNA". It matches the Rfam family "Bacterial small subunit ribosomal RNA", at positions 28 to 507 of the family's 1533-position model. The record is from RNAcentral.
GAUGAUCGCUGACAGAAUGCUUAACACAUGCAAGUCUUUGGCGAAGCUGUGCUUGCACAGCCUAGCCAAGGCGGACGGGUGAGUAACGCGUAAGGAACUUGCCCUGCAGUCAGGGAUAACAGACGGAAACGACUGAUAAGACCUGGUAAAGUCAGGCGGACUCAUGUCCAGCCUGAUGAAAAGAGAUGCUGCAGGAGAGCCUUGCGUCCUAUUAGCUUGUUGGUGGGGUAACGGCCCACCAAGGCGAUGAUAGGUAGCCGGCCUGAGAGGGUGGACGGCCACAAGGGGACUGAGAUACGGCCCUUACUCCUACGGGAGGCAGCAGUGGGGAAUAUUGGACAAUGGGGGCAACCCUGAUCCAGCAAUUCUGUGUGCACGAUGAAGGUUUUCGGAUUGUAAAGUGCUUUCAGCAGGGAAGAAAAAAAUGACGGUACCUGCAGAAGAAGCGACGGCUAAAUACGUG